Molecule: ribosomal RNA, 470 nt
Filed under: Penaeus monodon (black tiger shrimp)
Lineage: Eukaryota; Metazoa; Arthropoda; Malacostraca; Decapoda; Penaeidae
Description: partial 16S ribosomal RNA
Rfam family: Bacterial large subunit ribosomal RNA
Source: RNAcentral
UAGCCUGCCCACUGAAUUAUUUUUAAAGGGCCGCGGUAUACUGACCGUGCGAAGGUAGCAUAAUCAUUAGUCUUUUAAUUGAAGGCUUGUAUGAAUGGUUGGACAAAAAGUAAUCUGUCUCAAUUAUAAUAGUUGAACUUAACUUUUAAGUGAAAAGGCUUAAAUACUUUAAGGGGACGAUAAGACCCUAUAAAACUUAACAAUAAUUUGAUUAAAUUAUAAAUUGUUAGUAUAACUUGAUUUUAAUUAAUGUUUGUUGCGUUGGGGCGACGGGAAUAUAAUUAGUAACUGUUCUUAAAUAUUUUAUUAACAAGUAUAAUUGAAGAAUAAUUGAUCCUUUAUUAAAGAUUAAAAGAUUAAGUUACUUUAGGGAUAACAGCGUAAUCUUCUUUGAGAGUCCUCAUCGACAAGAAGGUUUGCGACCUCGAUGUUGAAUUAAGGUAUCCUUAUAAUGCAGCAGUUAUAAAGGA